This is a long non-coding RNA of Salvia splendens (bonfire salvia), 442 nucleotides long. RefSeq lists it as uncharacterized. Lineage: Eukaryota; Viridiplantae; Streptophyta; Magnoliopsida; Lamiales; Lamiaceae. The record is from RefSeq and is a predicted model, not a curated record. The transcript has 2 exons.
UCAAGAUCAAAUGCAUACAUGAGAAUAAGUUUAAGAAUUUCACAGGCUGAAAACAAUUAUGCAGCCAGAGAUAGCUUUUCAAAUAAGGCACUAAGCAAAAAAAAUCAAGUGCUAGAGCUAUCAACAACUGAAGGGUAAUACUCCUUCUGUCCCUUAAAAAUAGACCGAAUUGCCAUUUUGGGAUGUCCACAGACCAAUUCUAUUUAAGGAAAUUUUUUCCUCUCUGAGGGACGGAGGAGGGAGUAUAUUAAAAGAAAGAUUCAUCAGUCCAAAUGCUGAUUAUUGAGAAUGUGAUAAUACUUUCUAUACUGUAAAAACCAGAUGUAAGAGUUCAUCAAGUACUGGACAGUUCAUCAAAUUUUAGCCUAAAACAGAAACUCAGAUUGCAAAUUGUAACCAAAAAAAUUUAUGACAGCAAAGAUAAAAACAAUUAUCAUAGUUU